RNAcentral lists this ribosomal RNA (440 nucleotides) under uncultured bacterium. RNAcentral describes it as "partial 16S ribosomal RNA". It matches the Rfam family "Bacterial small subunit ribosomal RNA", at positions 338 to 795 of the family's 1533-position model. The record is from RNAcentral.
CCUACGGGAGGCAGCAGUGGGGAAUAUUGCGCAAUGGGGGCAACCCUGAUGCAGCAACGCCGCGUGGAGGAAGAAGGCUUUCGGGUUGUAAACUCCUUUUAUGAGGGAAGAAGAUAGCGAUGGUUACCGAGUAAUCACCCGCUAACAACGUGGCAGCAGCCGCGGUAGUACGGAGUGGGCAAGCGUUAUCCGGAUUUACUGGGGGUAGGGGGGGCCGAGUCGGGAAAGCAAGUCAGAUGUGAAAGCCCAGGGCGCAACCAUGGGACUGCAUUUGAAACUGUUUUUCUAGAGUGCAGGAGAGGCAGGCGGAAUUCCGGGUGUAGCGGUGAAAUGCGUAGAGAUACGGAGGAACACCGGUGGCGAAGGCGGACUGCUGGACAGUAACUGACGCUGAGGCGCGAAAGCGUGGGGAGCAAACAGGAUUAGAUACCCUAGUAGUC